This 273-nucleotide ribosomal RNA is filed under the name uncultured bacterium. RNAcentral's name for it is "partial 16S ribosomal RNA". It matches the Rfam family "Bacterial small subunit ribosomal RNA", at positions 85 to 354 of the family's 1533-position model. The record is from RNAcentral.
CCGCCGGCGACCGGCGCACGGGUGAGUAACACGUAUGCAACCUGGCCGUGACAGAUGGAUAACCGGGAGAAAUCCCGCCUAAUACAACAUAAUGCCGGGAGGGGACAUCCCCUGCCAGCCAAAGGGGGCGACCCCGGUCACGGAUGGGCAUGCGGCGCAUUAGGUAGUUGGUGGGGCAACGGCCCACCAAGCCGACGAUGCGUAGGGGUUCUGAGAGGAAGGUCCCCCACAUUGGAACUGAGACACGGUCCAAACUCCUACGGGAGGCAGCAG